UACAGAGGGUGCGAGCGUUGUUCGGAAUUAUUGGGCGUAAAGGGCGCGUAGGCGGUGCGGUAAGUCACCUGUGAAAUCUCCUGGCUCAACUGGGAGCUUGCAGGCGAAACUGCCGUGCUGGAGUGUGGGAGAGGUGCGUGGAAUUCCCGGUGUAGCGGUGAAAUGCGUAGAUAUCGGGGAGGAACACCUGUGGCGAAAGCGGCGCACUGGACCACAACUGACGCUGAGGCGCGAAAGCUAGGGGAGCAAACAGG
This 254-nucleotide ribosomal RNA is filed under the name uncultured bacterium. RNAcentral describes it as "partial 16S ribosomal RNA". It matches the Rfam family "Bacterial small subunit ribosomal RNA", at positions 524 to 776 of the family's 1533-position model. The record is from RNAcentral.